GACGAACGCUGGCGGCGUGCUUAACACAUGCAAGUCGAACGGAAAGACCCUGCUUUUGUGGGGUGCUCGAGUGGCGGACGGGUGAGUAACACGUGAGUAACCUGCCCUUGACUUUGGGAUAACUUCAGGAAACUGGGGCUAAUACCGGAUAGGAGCUCCUGCUGCAUGGUGGGGGUUGGAAAGUUUCGGCGGUUGGGGAUGGACUCGCGGCUUAUCAGCUUGUUGGUGGGGUAGUGGCUUACCAAGGCUUUGACGGGUAGCCGGCCUGAGAGGGUGACCGGCCACAUUGGGACUGAGAUACGGCCCAGACUCCUACGGGAGGCAGCAGUGGGGAAUAUUGCACAAUGGGCGGAAGCCUGAUGCAGCAACGCCGCGUGCGGGAUGACGGCCUUCGGGUUGUAAACCGCUUUCGCCUGUGACGAAGCGUGAGUGACGGUAAUGGGUAAAGAAGCACCGGCUAACUACGUG
This 468-nucleotide ribosomal RNA is filed under the name uncultured bacterium. RNAcentral describes it as "partial 16S ribosomal RNA". It matches the Rfam family "Bacterial small subunit ribosomal RNA", at positions 28 to 507 of the family's 1533-position model. The record is from RNAcentral.